CCCUUAGAUGUUCUGGGCAGCACGCGCGCUACAAUGGUCUUCGCAAACGGAUGCAUUCUCGAAGGAGAAUGCCAAUCUUGGAAUCUAUGCCUUGGUCGGGACAGUUGCUUGCAAUUUUUCGACUCGAACCAGGAAUUCCUUGUAAUCGUGAUUCAUCACAUCACGAUGAAUACGUCCCUGCCCUUUGUACACACCGCCCGUCGCUCCUGCCGAUCGAAGAGUUAGGUGAAUUGUUUUGAUCGAUAAGAUUUGACUAUGGUCAACUCUCGUUGUGAAAUUCUGUGAAUCUGACUGUUUAGAGGAAGGAAAAGUCGUAACA
This 319-nucleotide ribosomal RNA is filed under the name uncultured eukaryote. Its description in RNAcentral is "partial 18S ribosomal RNA". It matches the Rfam family "Eukaryotic small subunit ribosomal RNA", at positions 1470 to 1796 of the family's 1831-position model. The record is from RNAcentral.